RNAcentral lists this transfer RNA (75 nucleotides) under Clostridia bacterium. RNAcentral describes it as "tRNA-Cys". It matches the Rfam family "tRNA". Rfam says of the family: Transfer RNA (tRNA) molecules are approximately 80 nucleotides in length. The record is from RNAcentral. RNAcentral also lists the same sequence under 1 other name. Lineage: Bacteria; Bacillati; Bacillota; Clostridia.
GGCACCAUAGCCAAGUGGUAAGGCAGAGGUCUGCAAAACCUUUAUUCCCCAGUCCGAGUCUGGGUGGUGCCUCCA